RNAcentral lists this ribosomal RNA (391 nucleotides) under Chrysophyceae sp. RNAcentral describes it as "partial small subunit ribosomal RNA". It matches the Rfam family "Eukaryotic small subunit ribosomal RNA", at positions 582 to 975 of the family's 1831-position model. The record is from RNAcentral. Lineage: Eukaryota; Chrysophyceae.
AUUCCAGCUCCAAUAGCGUAUACUAAAGUUGUUGCAGUUAAAAAGCUCGUAGUUGAAUUUCUGGUCUCGGACAGCGGUCUGCCUCAAACGAGGUACGCACCACCUGUUCAGGUCCAUCCUCGGAGAAAACAUGCCUGUGAUUCAGUUCAUGGGUAUGGGAUCUUCGUCAUUUACUGUGAGCAAAAUAUAGUGUUCAAAGCAGGCUUAUGCCGUUGAAUACAUUAGCAUGGAAUAAUAAAAUAAGACCUUGGUCUAUUUUGUUGGUUUGUACUCCAAGGUAAUGAUUAAUAGGGGUAGUUGGGGGUAUUCGUAUUCAAUUGUCAGAGGUGAAAUUCUUGGAUUUAUGGAAGACGAACUACUGCGAAAGCAUUUACCAAGGAUGUUUUCAUCA